UCCUGAUACCAAAAAAAGAAUCAGAAUUCAAAUUGAAACCGUAAGUUCCAUUUGAGUCAUAUCAAGAGCUCCACUUCUGCAACACUUGAACACCAAUGAUUAAGACUAGAGCUGGAGUUUGGUUUUUCAGGGACGGACCAUGAGGAGAUCAACAAAGGGUUUGCCAUCAGAGGUUUUCUGGUAGAGGGUUUCCUCAAAAAGGAUAACACCAGAGAGGCAAGGGAAAGCGCCAGGGGAAGUGAAGAGGAGCUCACGGAGAGCUUGGCGGUUGGACUCAACGUUCUCGACAUUGAUGCUGGCGAAUCGUUUCCCGAUGGUUCCUGUGCUCUCGUCUGCCGCCAAAAUGCCCUUUCCCGGUGUUGCAAUGUACUUAGCCGUCUUAAUCAGCUCAUCUGAACUCAGAAAGCACAUUAAAGAGAGAACCUGAAGAGACUGGAACACGAAGAGUUAUACAACAAGAAGAGUGUAUGUACCUGCGUAUUUGCCGACAAAAGCAGACAUGGUUGCUUUUUGGAGUGCAAGAGAGACGAGUUUUACUGAAGAGGACGAGGAAGCCAAGACAAAGCCUUAAGUACCUGCAACUUUUGAGAAUAUAUAGGUAAUAUCUACGAGGAAUAUACUAUUAGCAUUUGUCAUACGUGUCGGAAGGAGAGCCCGAGGAAGAUUAUCAACCUCCGAUAAAGCAAAUGAGUGAUUGCUUCUACACUACCAAAUGGCAACCAAUGAUCCCAGCUUUAUCCCCAAAGUCUUGGAUAUGUGGAGAAGAGAAAGAGAUAGGUACAAAACAAAAGCAGAGUGUUUUGUAUAGUACCUCUCUCACACACUUCAACCACACGAGUGUGCGUGCAACCAAAACUUACAAACACAAGAGAUAUUUUGGAUAAUGAAGACAAAUGUAUUUUUUUUUUUUUCAUUUUGUCAUCAUCGGCCCAGUAGCCAUAUACCUCCCACUAGGGAGAGAGAGACUAGGUUUGAACCUGGAUUCAUGAGAUGACAACAGGAGGGGGUGAUGUAUUAUGCUUAAUUAUGGGGUAUCAAGGGUUCCAAGGAUAUUUAUAUAUGGCACACGACACAAUAGUUGUUAUGGAGUAUCAAGAGUUCCAAGGAUAAUUAUAUAUGGUACACCGAAUCCCGGGUUCGAUCAACCCGCACUUGGGCAUUUAUAAAUAAACAGAACUGUUCCCAAGAACUUGAGGGGGUUUAAGUGGGAAAACCAACAAAGUUGAAGGUGAUUCCUUUGAUAGUUUGUGUAGCCGUUGUUGUGGAUAGAAUGGUGAAUGAAUCAAUAAACUGCUAGGCAGGACAUGGAAGGGACAACUAAUGCUGCAGGACCACAGUGGCCUAGUCAUCGCCUGUGCCAAAAUAUCGGUCCCCAAACUCUCCCAUACCAGGAAUUACAACUCUUCCUUAAUCCAUUAUCGAUUUCAGAUGUCACUAUCUUUAUUCUUGGGAAUUUUCGCAGACCACAUGAACAUCUUGAGGUGCCUGAUUGAACAAAGAAGAAAAAAUAUCGCAAUUCAGCUGCAUUAUUGUGGAUAAACAUGGAUAAGAAGUAACCACAAGGGGUGUGUGUUAGCUUACUGAGAUAAGGUUUAGAAGUAUGAUGUUUCCCUCAAGUACGCCCUUGUUUAUAAGAAGGUUGAUAGCUUCAGCCGCUGAGUUUCCGGACAAGAUCAUGUUCAAUUUCAGCAGGUGUCACUAAGCACGUCUUCAAGUGUGUUGAAUUGGCAAACAGUGUGCAGUAGAGCAAAGAGAAAAAUAUCUGGUAAUGAUUGUCCUUAAACAAAUUUUAUACGUACAAUAAAAACAUUUUUUUUGCUUUUCAAAACGUGAAUCUCACAUGGAUAUUGCUGUAUGUAUUUAGGUGUGGAAGACCUUUACCAGUUGCUUUUCUGGUUGCUAAAUCAAAAUUAAAUCUUUUUAAUUUAGUUUAAUCAACUCUGACGGAUUAGCAUGUAUAGCUUGACAGUAACUGGAAAAAUAACAAUUAUUAGCAAUUUGCAAAACUGAACAUUCGAACAGUUACAACACCAACGAAACAUUAGACAUAUACUCAAACCGCAUCAAAGGUGAACGCCCGUUCUCAAACAAUCCUAGUACCUGUAUCCUAUCACAACCAAGCUCUCGGAGGCGGCCGAAUCACCAGAAGCCCAGCCGGUGUAUUUCCCGAGGGUAGCGUCCGAGUUAGCCUUGCACCUGGUCAGGAACUUGGCCUGAGCUUUGGCUACGUUCUCGGUUUUACCAGCCCAAGCCUUGAGAGCGCUUUGCUGGAGGGCUCCGCCAAAAGAGAAAGUGAGCGUCCAUGGCUUCAACACAUCAAGCUUGUUCAUUGCGUUUAGAUUUAGUGUCGCUUGCUCUUCCCGCUGUACGCCUGAGAGGAACACGAUUCCCGGAAUAGCUGGUGGGACUGUACGGCACAGAGCAGUCACCGUGUAUUCCGCGAUUACUUCCGGUGCAACCUGUAAGAAGAACAAUUUUAGCGUUUUGUAGCAAAUUAACGUCGCAUUUCGAGGUAUUUAUGUCUCUGUGAUUCAUUUGAUUGUGGUUCCGUAAGGAGCAGGCAUGUAAAUCUAAAUAAAAUAGCAUCAAACCGAUAAAGUUUGGUUGUGUUUUCAGUUUCGAAAUAUAAGACCAAUAAAACCGAAAAAUCGGAAACAACUGUUCCAAAACAAAACCCGGAUUGCCCACACCUAGUUUCGUUACCUUUGGGCUGUCGGAACCGGGAGUGACCAUGUUAGGUUUAAGCAGAGUGCCUUCGAGGAGGACAUGGUGGUCGUUCAAGGCCUUGAACACGGCAGCAAGAACCGUCUCGGUCACCGCCGCACAUUUCUUGAUGUCGUGGCUCCCACCGGUCAGCACCUCUGGCUCCACGAUCGGGACAAGUCCGUUCUCCUGGCAGAUGAUGGCAUAGCGGGCUAGCACCUUGGCGUCCUCUUGGAUCGAGAGAACGCUUGGCUCAGUGGCCCCAAUCUUGAAGAAUGCACGCCAUUUAGCAAACCGGGCUCCUGCCUUGUAAUAGUCCUGGCACCGUGCACCAAGCGAGUCUAGACCCUGAGUAAUGGUCUCGCCGUUGGUUCCUGCUAGAUCAACCAAACCCUUGUCUACUUUGAUUCCGGGGAUAACACCGUUCUCCUGAUCCAAAGAAAAAUCAGAAUCCAAACUAAAACAAUAAGUUCCAUUUGGGUCAUGUCAAGAGCUUCAACUCUGCAACUCUUGAACCCAAUGAUUAAGACUAGAGCUGGAGUUUGCUUUUUCUGAGACGGACCAUGAGGAGAUCGACGAAGGGUUUUCCAUCAGAGGUUUUCUGGUAGAGGGUUUCCUCGAAGAGUAUAACACCAGAGAGGCAAGGGUAACUGCCAGGGGAAGUGAAGAGGAGCUCUCGGUAAGCUUGGCGGUUG
This 3398-nucleotide long non-coding RNA is filed under the name Arabidopsis lyrata. Its description in RNAcentral is "long non-coding RNA (ALYR_LNC000810)". The record is from RNAcentral. Lineage: Eukaryota; Viridiplantae; Streptophyta; Magnoliopsida; Brassicales; Brassicaceae.